AAUCAACGCUGGCGGCGUGCCUAACACAUGCAAGUCGAACGCGAAAGCCCUUUCGGGGGGUAAGUAGAGUGGCGUCCGGGUGAGUAACACGUAGGUAAUCUACCUUCGGGUGGGGAAUAACUCGCCGAAAGGACGAGCUAAUACCGCAUAAUGCAGCGGCACCUAAUGGUGAUUAGUUGUUAAAGGCGGGGGAUCGUAAGACCUCGCGCCUGAAGAGGAGCCUGCGGCAGAUUAGCUAGNGGUGAGGUAAUGGCUCACCAAGGCUUCGAUCUGUAGCUGGUCUGAGAGGACGGCCAGCCACACUGGCACUGACACACGGGCCAGACUCCUACGGGAGGCAGCAGUGGGAAUUUUGGGCAAUGGGCGCAAGCCUGACCCAGCAACGCCGCGUGGAGGGAGGAAA
Molecule: ribosomal RNA, 403 nt
Filed under: uncultured bacterium
Lineage: Bacteria
Description: bacterial SSU rRNA
Rfam family: Bacterial small subunit ribosomal RNA
Source: RNAcentral